Molecule: long non-coding RNA, 450 nt
Organism: Branchiostoma belcheri (Belcher's lancelet)
Lineage: Eukaryota; Metazoa; Chordata; Leptocardii; Amphioxiformes; Branchiostomatidae
Exons: 3
Source: RefSeq, a predicted model, not a curated record
CCAAACCAACGCCGCGCUCGGCUUCGGUCUCAAAUCACCACCACAGAAUGAAACAUGGGAAAAGCCAGAGGCAAAAGCAAGCACUUUCGGUGUGAAAGGCAGAAAGUGACGGCAAGGACUGUGAUCUUUGACGACAGUCCAGCUCCAAAGAGAUCCGUGACACGUGUCCCCAUACCAUUUGGCAGUACACAUACUAGUACAUUGCCCCAACAUCCUUGUCCCAGCACAGCAGCAGCUGCUGUUGACACCUUAUUCCCACCACAAGAUGAACCGGAGCUAGCCCCGCCACAAACUCGCACUACAUAUUCAAAACAGAAGAUAGCUACGCAGGAAUCCUGGAACAAUGACAGAGAUGACCUGUUCAACUUAAUGAAGGUGCCAAGAGUCAACAUGUGGCUGGAUAGACAUUGUCUUCAAGGGAAAUGCAGAACCCAUCAGGACAACCUAUUA